Molecule: ribosomal RNA, 207 nt
Filed under: uncultured bacterium
Lineage: Bacteria
Description: partial 16S ribosomal RNA
Rfam family: Bacterial small subunit ribosomal RNA
Source: RNAcentral
CGCGUAGGCGGUGCUGUAAGUCUGUGGUGAAAUCUCUGGGCUCAACUCAGAGUCUGCCAUAGAAACUGCAGUGCUGGAGUGUGGGAGAGGUGAGUGGAAUUCCCGGUGUAGCGGUGAAAUGCGUAGAUAUCGGGAGGAACGCCUGUGGCGAAAGCGGCUCACUGGACCACAACUGACGCUGAGGCGCGAAAGCUAGGGGAGCAAACA